Molecule: ribosomal RNA, 413 nt
Filed under: uncultured Desulfovibrio sp.
Lineage: Bacteria; Pseudomonadati; Thermodesulfobacteriota; Desulfovibrionia; Desulfovibrionales; Desulfovibrionaceae
Description: bacterial SSU rRNA
Rfam family: Bacterial small subunit ribosomal RNA
Source: RNAcentral
UUACCUAGGUUUGUACAUCCGGAAAACCUCCCAAAAAGGAAGGGUGCCCUUCGGGGAAUUCCGAGACAGGUGCUGCAUGGCUGUCGUCAGCUCGUGCCGUGAGGUGUUGGGUAAGUCCCGCAACGAGCGCAACCCCUAUUGCCAGUUGCUACCAGGUAAUGCUGGGCACUCUGGUGAGACUGCCCCGGUUAACGGGGAGGAAGGUGGGGACGACGUCAAGUCAUCAUGGCCCUUACGCCUAGGGCUACACACGUACUACAAUGGCGCAUACAAAGGGCAGCGAUACCGCGAGGUGGAGCCAAUCCCAAAAAGUGCGUCCCAGUCCGGAUUGCAGUCUGCAACUCGACUGCAUGAAGUUGGAAUCGCUAGUAAUUCGAGAUCAGCAUGCUCGGGUGAAUGCGUUCCCGGGCCUU